Molecule: ribosomal RNA, 252 nt
Filed under: uncultured bacterium
Lineage: Bacteria
Description: partial 16S ribosomal RNA
Rfam family: Bacterial small subunit ribosomal RNA
Source: RNAcentral
UACGUAGGGGGCAAGCGUUGUCCGGAUUUAUUGGGCGUAAAGAGCGUGUAGGCGGCCAGGUAGGUCAGCUGUGAAAACUCGAGGCUCAACCUCGAGACGUCGGUUGAAACCACCUGGCUAGAGUCCGGAAGAGGAGAGUGGAAUUCCUGGUGUAGCGGUGAAAUGCGCAGAUAUCAGGAGGAACACCGGUGGCGAAGGCGGUUCUCUGGGCCAGUACUGACGCUGAGGAGCGAAAGCGUGGUAGCAAACAGG